GAAAUGCGAUAAGUAAUGUGAAUUGCAGAAUUUAGUGAAUCAUCGAAUCUUUGAACGCACAUUGCGCCCGCCAGUAUUCUGGCGGGCAUGCCUGUUCGAGCGUCAUUUCAACCAUCAAGCCCCCGGCUUGUGUUGGGGACCUGCGGCUGCCCGCAGGCCCUGAAAAACAGUGGCGGGCUCGCUGUCACACCGAGCGUAGUAGCAUACAUUCUCGCUCAGGGCGUGCUGCGGGUUCCGGCCGUUAAACGACCUUCAUAACCCAAGGUUGACCUCGGAUCAGGUAGGAAGACCCGCUGAACUUAAGC
This 305-nucleotide unclassified non-coding RNA is filed under the name plant metagenome. RNAcentral's name for it is "partial contains 5.8S ribosomal RNA, internal transcribed spacer 2, and large subunit ribosomal RNA". The stretch from base 1 to 105 matches the Rfam family "5.8S ribosomal RNA", at positions 50 to 154 of the family's 154-position model. The record is from RNAcentral.